This 651-nucleotide long non-coding RNA is filed under the name Gallus gallus (chicken). Lineage: Eukaryota; Metazoa; Chordata; Aves; Galliformes; Phasianidae. The record is from RNAcentral.
ACUGAAAUAGGCUCAGUGUGUGUCAUAGAAGAGAGGAUUUUAAUGGCACAGUUUCUUCACUGCAGGAAUGAAGUUGAUAUUCCCUCACCGUUUCCCUCAUCCGAUUAAUCCUUUCCACGCCGAGCGGCACUGAGCGGACAGCUCCUCAAGCACCUCUCUUGGCUCAGCACCGUACCCUGCCACAGAGACCCUGGUGAACUCAGCUAGACACUGCUGCUGGUUUUGAAAGAAGCAGAAGUUGGGUGAAUCAUUUCGGCAUCAUUGCAAGGAAAUGUUUCAGCAGGCUGAAACACGAAGGAGUUUUCAGCCAUUAGGUUCGUAAACAUUUGUGCAAUUUCCUCUCUAGUCCCUGUGUGCUGCAGGUAAAAGCCUCCAGUGUGGGAAAGCCAUUUCCAUGCUGGGUGUAAGUCUGAGUUUUGCUUCCUGGGUAGCAUUCUGCAUGAGUUGGUGACUCAAGGUGUGCAGACAGAGAGCCCUACCACAGCACAACAGGCUUUCCCCCACAGCUGAGGGCUCCUUCCCUCCUCCUGCUGGGGGUCACUGAUGGGCUUUUAUGGACUGGUCCCCAUCACGGUGAUGGUGAUGUCCACUGUAGGUCAGUGUGCCCUCCACAGUGAGGUGUGGGGGAGCCAGGCUGGGCAGGAAUAGGAC